RNAcentral lists this ribosomal RNA (497 nucleotides) under uncultured Sphingobacteriales bacterium. RNAcentral describes it as "bacterial SSU rRNA". It matches the Rfam family "Bacterial small subunit ribosomal RNA", at positions 903 to 1382 of the family's 1533-position model. Lineage: Bacteria; Pseudomonadati; Bacteroidota; Sphingobacteriia; Sphingobacteriales. The record is from RNAcentral.
GCCCGCUCAGAAACUACAAAGGAAAGUUGACGGGGCCCGCACAAGCGGAGGAGCAUGUGGUUUAAUUCGAUGAUACGCGAGGAACCUUACCUGGGCUCGAACGUAAGAUGACUGUAGGUGAAAGCUUACAUCUCUUCGGAGCAUUUUACGAGGUGCUGCAUGGUUGUCGUCAGCUCGUGCCGUGAGGUGUCGGGUUAAGUCCCAUAACGAGCGCAACCCCUACCUUUAGUUGCCAUCAGGUUAAGCUGGGGACUCUAAGGGAACUGCCUACGCAAGUAGUGAGGAAGGCGGGGAUGACGUCAAAUCAGCACGGCCCUUACGUCCAGGGCUGCACACGUGCUACAAUGGCCGAUACAGAGGGCGGCUACCUGGUGACAGGAUGCAAAUCUCCAAAGUCGGUCUCAGUUCGGAUCGGAGUCUGCAACCCGACUCCGUGAAGUUGGAUUCGCUAGUAAUCGCGCAUCAGCCAUGGCGCGGUGAAUACGUUCCCGGGCCUU